AACGCACCUUGCGCUCCCUGGUAUUCCGGGGAGCAUGCCUGUUUGAGUGUCAUGAACUCUUCAACCCACCGGUUUCUUGUAGACUGUUGUGGUGUUUGGAUUUUGAAUGUUGCUGGCUCUUCGGAGCGAAGCUCGUUCGUAAUACAUUAGCAUUUCUAAUUCGAAUUCGGAUUGACUCAGUGUAAUAGACUAUUCGCUGAGGACACUAGUAAUAGUGGCCGUAUUCAAUACAAGAGAAGCUUCUAAUCCUUCUAGUCAACUUUAGAUUAGACCUCAAAUCAGGUAGGAUUACCCGCUGAACUUAA
RNAcentral lists this unclassified non-coding RNA (305 nucleotides) under uncultured Basidiomycota. Its description in RNAcentral is "sequence contains ITS2". The stretch from base 1 to 52 matches the Rfam family "5.8S ribosomal RNA", at positions 103 to 154 of the family's 154-position model. The record is from RNAcentral. Lineage: Eukaryota; Fungi; Basidiomycota.